CGGGGUUUAGGGUUUCUUAAUAUGUUAAUAUUAGAUUGAUUAAUUUUGGAGGUAAAUAUAUAUGUUCUUAUAUAUUUGUAAAAUAUAUAUCCAGAAUAAAUUUAAUAUUAAGAUAAGUUUUGAGUAUAAUAGGUAGGUGAUCACUUUAUGCAUGUACGUAGCUACAUAAAUUGAAUGGUUAAUAUGAAGAUUACAAGGUUAAUUUAUAAU
This 210-nucleotide long non-coding RNA is filed under the name Gossypium barbadense (sea-island cotton). RNAcentral's name for it is "long non-coding RNA (GBAR_LNC014043)". Lineage: Eukaryota; Viridiplantae; Streptophyta; Magnoliopsida; Malvales; Malvaceae. The record is from RNAcentral.